GGCCGCGGGAAUUCGAUUCAGGCCUAACACAUGCAAGUCGAACGAGUUUACUUUUAAUGAAGGCGGUGUUUGCACCAACUGAUUUAAAAAUAAACGAGUGGAGAAAAGGUGAGUAACACGUGGGUAACCUACCCUAAAGUGGGGGAUAACAUUUGGAAACAGAUGCUAAUACCGCAUAAUAUUAAAAACCACAUGGUUUUUAAUUGAAAGACGGCGUAAGCUGUCACUUUUGGAUGGACCCGCGGCGUAUUAGCUAGUUGGUGAGGUAACGGCUCACCAAGGCGAUGAUACGUAGCCGACCUGAGAGGGUGAUCGGCCACAUUGGGACUGAGACACGGCCCAAACUCCUACGGGAGGCAGCAGUAGGGAAUCUUCCACAAUGGACGAAAGUCUGAUGGAGAAAGGCCGCGUGAGUGAAGAAGGUUUUCGGAUCGUAAUUUAUGGUAUUGGAGAAGAACGUAUUUGGUAGUAACUGGCCAGAUAGUGACG
Molecule: ribosomal RNA, 489 nt
Filed under: uncultured bacterium
Lineage: Bacteria
Description: bacterial SSU rRNA
Rfam family: Bacterial small subunit ribosomal RNA
Source: RNAcentral